AGAUUUCGCAGCCGACGACUUCCUCGGCAGCCGGGUUCGGUUACGACACUUCGCCGUUUCAAGGCACAAUAUGGAAGCCCACGUCUUUCAAUGUGCUGCGUUGUUGGCAGUUAUCCUCAUCGGUGUCACGAACGCUCAGGUCUCAUGGUCCGGAUCCGCGGUCACUACCUGCCCAAAGUAGAGGUGGCUUCCUGGAACGCCCAUGCAGUCCUCGCGAGGUGUACCUCCAGUGCGGCAGUGCCUGCCCGCGCAUUUGUGGACGGCCAGCACGCACCUUCUGCACGUACCAGUGCGUGAGUGGGUGUUUCUG
Dermacentor albipictus is the source of this 310-nucleotide long non-coding RNA. RefSeq lists it as uncharacterized. The record is from RefSeq and is a predicted model, not a curated record. NCBI's taxonomy places the organism in Eukaryota, Metazoa, Arthropoda, Arachnida, Ixodida, Ixodidae.